Molecule: transfer RNA, 72 nt
Filed under: Ovis aries (sheep)
Lineage: Eukaryota; Metazoa; Chordata; Mammalia; Artiodactyla; Bovidae
Description: tRNA-Cys (GCA) (tRNA-Cys-GCA-17-1)
Rfam family: tRNA
About the family: Transfer RNA (tRNA) molecules are approximately 80 nucleotides in length. Their secondary structure includes four short double-helical elements and three loops (D, anti-codon, and T loops).
Source: Rfam by way of RNAcentral
UCCCUGGUAGCUCAGAGGUUAAAGCAUCUGCCUGCAAUGCAGGAGACCCAGGUUCAAUUCCUGGCUUGGGAA